RNAcentral lists this small nucleolar RNA (142 nucleotides) under Dasypus novemcinctus (nine-banded armadillo). RNAcentral's name for it is "Small nucleolar RNA SNORA29 (ENSDNOG00000037195.1)". It matches the Rfam family "Small nucleolar RNA SNORA29". From Rfam's summary of the family: ACA29 is a member of the H/ACA class of snoRNA that guide the sites of modification of uridines to pseudouridines. The record is from RNAcentral. Lineage: Eukaryota; Metazoa; Chordata; Mammalia; Cingulata; Dasypodidae.
UUUAACAGGGUAAGUCACACAGACUCUUAAUAAUAGAUUUUAGUGGCUGUGCUUCUGGGAUAGAUGAAAAUUGCCAUGAUCUGAAGAGGGAGGAUAUUUUCUGUGUGUCCUCCUCCUAUAUGAAAUUCCUGAACAGAAAAUU